This 292-nucleotide ribosomal RNA is filed under the name uncultured bacterium. RNAcentral's name for it is "partial 16S ribosomal RNA". The record is from RNAcentral.
GGACUACACGGGUAUCUAAUCCCGUUCGCUCCCCACGCUUUCGCUCCUCAGUGUCAGUUACUGCCCAGAGACCCGCCUUCGCCACCGGUGUUCCUCCUGAUAUCUGCGCAUUCCACCGCUACACCAGGAAUUCCAGUCUCCCCUGCAGUACUCCAGUCUGCCCGUAUCGCCCGCACGCCCACAGUUAAGCUGUGGCAUUUCACGAACAACGCGACAAACCACCUACGAGCUCUUUACGCCCAGUAAUUCCGGACAACGCUCGCACCCUACGUAUUACCGCGGCGGCUGGCAC